AACCUUAUGGACCUGCGGGCGUAUACCUGCGGAAGGAUCAUUAUAGAGUUUUCUAAACUCCCAAACCCAUGUGAACUUACCAUUGUUGCCUCGGCAGAACCUACCCGGUACCUACCCAGGAACGAGCUACCCUGUAGCUACCCAGGAACGGGCUACCCUGUAACGUCCUGCCGGUGGACUUCUAAACUCUUGUUAUUUAUAGUAAUCUGAGCGUCUUAUUUUAAUAAGUCAAAACUUUUA
RNAcentral lists this unclassified non-coding RNA (240 nucleotides) under soil metagenome. RNAcentral's name for it is "partial contains 5.8S ribosomal RNA, internal transcribed spacer 2, and large subunit ribosomal RNA". The record is from RNAcentral.